UGGGGAAUAUUGGACAAUGGGCGAAAGCCUGAUCCAGCCAUGCCGCGUGUGUGAAGAAGGUCUUCGGAUUGUAAAGCACUUUAAGUUGGGAGGAAGGGCAUUAACCUAAUACGUUAGUGUUUUGACGUUACCGACAGAAUAAGCACCGGCUAACUCUGUGCCAGCAGCCGCGGUAAUACAGAGGGUGCAAGCGUUAAUCGGAAUUACUGGGCGUAAAGCGCGCGUAGGUGGUUUGUUAAGUUGGAUGUGAAAUCCCCGGGCGCAACCUUGGAACUGCAUUCAAAACUGACUGACUAGAUUAUGGUAGAGGGUGGUGGAAUUUCCUGUGUAGCGGUGAAAUGCGUAGAGAUAGGAAGGAACACCAGUGGCGAAGGCGACCACCUGGACUAAUACUGACACUGAGGUGCGAAAGCGUGGGGAGCAAACA
Molecule: ribosomal RNA, 427 nt
Filed under: uncultured bacterium
Lineage: Bacteria
Description: partial 16S ribosomal RNA
Rfam family: Bacterial small subunit ribosomal RNA
Source: RNAcentral